ACAGUCAUAGAAAGGGAGAACAUAUAAAAAUACAUGCAGGCGUAGGCCAUUCGGCCUUUCGAGCAAGCACCACCAUUCUGCAUAAUCAUGGCUGAAUCAUC
Molecule: long non-coding RNA, 101 nt
Organism: Amblyraja radiata (thorny skate)
Lineage: Eukaryota; Metazoa; Chordata; Chondrichthyes; Rajiformes; Rajidae
Exons: 3
Source: RefSeq, a predicted model, not a curated record